This is a non-coding RNA of Podarcis lilfordi (Lilford's wall lizard), 73 nucleotides long. Lineage: Eukaryota; Metazoa; Chordata; Lepidosauria; Squamata; Lacertidae. The record is from the annotation of a GenBank genome assembly.
AGUCAGAUAGCUCAGUCAGUAGAGCAUGAGACUCUUAAUCUCAGGGUUGUGAGUUCAAUCGCCACGUUGGGUA